GCCUGGGUGGCUCAGUCAGUUAAGCGGCUGACUUCGGCUCAGGUCAUGAUCUCGCGGUCCGUGGGUUCGAGCCCCGCAUCAGGCU
Molecule: transfer RNA, 85 nt
Filed under: Felis catus (domestic cat)
Lineage: Eukaryota; Metazoa; Chordata; Mammalia; Carnivora; Felidae
Rfam family: tRNA
About the family: Transfer RNA (tRNA) molecules are approximately 80 nucleotides in length. Their secondary structure includes four short double-helical elements and three loops (D, anti-codon, and T loops). Further hydrogen bonds mediate the characteristic L-shaped molecular structure. tRNAs have two regions of fundamental functional importance: the anti-codon, which is responsible for specific mRNA codon recognition, and the 3' end, to which the tRNAs corresponding amino acid is attached (by aminoacyl-tRNA synthetases). tRNAs cope with the degeneracy of the genetic code in two manners: having more than one tRNA (with a specific anti-codon) for a particular amino acid; and 'wobble' base-pairing, i.e. permitting non-standard base-pairing at the 3rd anti-codon position.
Source: Rfam by way of RNAcentral